Molecule: transfer RNA, 73 nt
Filed under: Camelus bactrianus (Bactrian camel)
Lineage: Eukaryota; Metazoa; Chordata; Mammalia; Artiodactyla; Camelidae
Also listed under: 2 other names
Rfam family: tRNA
About the family: Transfer RNA (tRNA) molecules are approximately 80 nucleotides in length. Their secondary structure includes four short double-helical elements and three loops (D, anti-codon, and T loops).
Source: Rfam by way of RNAcentral
GAGGGUAUAGCUCAGGGGUAGAGCUGCAUGCUUAGCAUGCAUGAGGUCCUGGGUUUGAUCUCCAGUACCUCUA